Molecule: long non-coding RNA, 2565 nt
Filed under: Salvia miltiorrhiza (redroot sage)
Lineage: Eukaryota; Viridiplantae; Streptophyta; Magnoliopsida; Lamiales; Lamiaceae
Description: long non-coding RNA (SMIL_LNC006788)
Source: RNAcentral
UCAUUAAUAGAAAUAUGAGUUAAGCGUCUAAGCCUAACCUGAUAAUAGUGUGUUACAUAAUAGAAAUUCUCAGUUUAGGGAAUUUAAAAGACGAGCUGGCAAGCUAGUCAUUAGCGGAAGCAAAAGACGUCGUGAUACCUAGCAUCAACUCAGCCUCGUCUGCACCAACCAAUCAACCUGAAAAUAUUUGAAAAUAAUUUAGACUGAGUACUAAUGCACUCAGUGGGCAUGAGUUUCUAAAAUAUUUUAUGAAAUAAUCAAAGCAGUUUAUCCAAUAUCACAAUCAUAACUCAUAAGGUUUUAAAACACAAAUCCACUUCUAAGUUUGAUAAAACUUUUUCUUAUUAAGUGGCGCGCCAUGCGACAUUCGAUUGUUACUCGCUGCUUAUGAUCCUGGGCCUUUAGCCACAGUCGGAUCGUUUACCGCCGCUUAAGUGAAGCCGGGACGCUACCCAGACGGAACAUAUCAUCAUUUGUGCUUUGGAAUGUGUCCAGGAGCACCCUUAUAACGCCUGCUUAGCUUUGUUAGUGCACGAUGGUGAUCAACCCACCGAGCUACUAUCCUUGUGUACACAAUCCUCAUCUAACGUGUUAGGCCAAAUGAGAAUCUCGAUCGAUGCUUAUACGAGCAUUAAACAAUGCAGAACGCACAUAAAAAAUAUUUAUAUUAGAUAAACAGAUAUUUUCAUGAAAUAUCAGAGCUUAUAUAACUCAAGAUAGAUUUUAGCAAAAUAAAGCCCACCUCGAAGUGGAUAUCCAGUGCUUGCUUUGCUCUUCUCUACUGUCCUUGGUUACUUGAACCUACAAAAAAUCUAUUCUUAAAUAGGUCUUGAGGUGUCAUUCUAAUUUCUAAGUAAAAGGGAAAAAUCGCUCACUAUUGAUACACUUUGCCUGAAAUAAUAAUUUCUUUAAGUGAGACCAUAAAUUUUUAAUACAUAAUUAUUAACUUAAUAAAUUUAAAAUUUAUAAAAUAAUUAAUAAUUUUAGAAUAUAAAACUUUAAUCUUGAGAGAAAGUUAAUUAAAACAUUUACAAGACCAAAAUAAUAAUAAAAGUUCAAGGAAAUAAUGUAAUAGGCCUGCCCAAUUUAAUGAGCUCAAGUAAAAUAUAUAAACUGAACCCAUCAGUUAAUUAAAAUCAGCCCAUUUGAAAAAUUAACCCAACAGAUUUUAAAGAAAAUCAGCCCAUCAUUUAAUAAAAGAGAGCCCAAAAGAAACCUACAUUAAAAAAAAAAAAAAAAUCUGAAUUAAAAGAUUGAGCUUCUCUCUCUAUCCUCACUCUAACCCAACGUCUCUCUCUCUCUAAUCGGUUCUCUCUCUCUCUCUCUUUCUAACUCACGCCUCUUCUCCCUCCACAGAUCCGCCGCCGCCGCCGCCUGCUCCAACCUCGGCGAGAAUCGCCGGCUCCGACGCCUCCCUCACCCAACGCCUUCCCUCUCUCACCAUACCCUCUCGCUCACCACCUCCCAUCUGCCCCUCUCUCUCUCUCUUGCGUACCCGACAGCAGACGGCCAAGGAAGGAGCGCCGCCAUCACUGCUGCUGCUGCUCCGUUCUCGGCCGCGUUAGUGGCGCCUGGCCUCCGGCCGCGCCACCUCGUUCAGCCGCCCCGGACUUCGCCGCCUUGCUCCGACUCUGUCUGCCUUGGCCGCGAGUGGCCGGCGGGCUGCUGCCAUGCAUGCAGCGCCGGCAGCCGCGGCCUUGACAGCCCGCGCCGAGCUCGGAUAGCCCCCCCUUUCUCCCUCUCAACGAUUCCUCGACUAUCACUCACCGGAGGAACAAAAGGAAUUUCAAAAUGUAAAGAUUUGAUUUUUGGUGUUUUGUAUUUCUGAAAUCUUUGAAGUUAUAAGAAAAGAAAGUUUAUGCCACUGCUGAGUUCUGAUUUGGGCGUCAAAAAUGGUUUCUUGAACAGUCCUUGCUGGGUUUAGUCGAUUGAGUCCUAAAGUUUGUGUUCUAGUCAUUGAGUUUUCUGUUAUGAUGUGGGUUUAGUAGUCUAUGAUCUUUCUUCUUUCUUCUUUUUCUUUUUUUUUUACAAAAUGGAAGAAAAUAUAGAAGGGAAUUUAUAAAUGUAUGGGAGUUGACCUUUCUUCUUGAGUGUUGCUGUCUUUUGUUUGAGAUUUUCUGUAACAAAAGGAAAAGAUCGCUUGGUUGUUCAUAUGAAAAAGACAAAAGAGAGAGUGAAUGAAGUUACUGAAUUUAGUUGGAGUCUUGAGCUUUUGUAAGCAGCAAUGAAGUAUUGACAGAUGUUGUUAGUAUUGAUUUCAUCCGGUCAUAAAAUUUCUGCAAUUGAAUGAAAGCAAAUUGAAUGGGAGAGAAGAAAUUACCUUCAGAAAUUGGAGUGUGCGGAUUAAAAAUGUUUGUGGGUCUGAAUCUUAAAGAAACAAGAAGAUGAAAAGCUUUUGGAUAGAAUUCUUGGGGAAAAAGGAAAAUGUUUCAAUUCUCGCUCGACUCGGCUUCUCACACUGAAAUCUUAAUUUUGGGCCAGUACUUAUCUCAAAAUUCUUGAGCUGAAAGCCCAUAAAAAAUAUUCUCUUAAAUAGAGAUUAUUGGACUUGAGGUCCAUCAAAAC